Molecule: ribosomal RNA, 726 nt
Filed under: Vibrio sp. HR05-09
Lineage: Bacteria; Pseudomonadati; Pseudomonadota; Gammaproteobacteria; Vibrionales; Vibrionaceae
Description: bacterial SSU rRNA
Rfam family: Bacterial small subunit ribosomal RNA
Source: RNAcentral
GGCGGACGGGUGAGUAAUGCUUAGGAAUUUGCCCAGUCGAGGGGGACAACAGUUGGAAACGACUGCUAAUACCGCAUACGCCCUUCGGGGGAAAGCAGGGGACCUUCGGGCCUUGCGCGAUUGGAUAAGCCUAAGUGAGAUUAGCUAGUUGGUGAGGUAAUGGCUCACCAAGGCGACGAUCUCUAGCUGGUCUGAGAGGAUGAUCAGCCACACUGGAACUGAGACACGGUCCAGACUCCUACGGGAGGCAGCAGUGGGGAAUAUUGCACAAUGGGCGAAAGCCUGAUGCAGCCAUGCCGCGUGUAUGAAGAAGGCCUUCGGGUUGUAAAGUACUUUCAGCAGUGAGGAAGGGUGUGUAGUUAAUAGCUGCAUAUCUUGACGUUAGCUGCAGAAGAAGCACCGGCUAACUCCGUGCCAGCAGCCGCGGUAAUACGGAGGGUGCGAGCGUUAAUCGGAAUUACUGGGCGUAAAGCGCAUGCAGGUGGUUUGUUAAGUCAGAUGUGAAAGCCCGGGGCUCAACCUCGGAAUUGCAUUUGAAACUGGCAGGCUAGAGUACUGUAGAGGGGGGUAGAAUUUCAGGUGUAGCGGUGAAAUGCGUANAGAUCUGAAGGAAUACCAGUGGCGAAGGCGGCCCCCUGGNACAGAUACUGACACUCAGAUGCGAAAGCGUGGGGAGCAAACAGGANUAGAUACCCUGGNAGUCCACGCCGUAAACGAUGUCUACUU